ACGAACCGUACAAACGUUACUCGGAAUUACUGGGCUUAAAGGGUGCGUAGGCUGCGCGGAAAGUUGGGUGUGAAAGCCCUCGGCUCAACCGAGGAAUUGCAUUCAAAACUACCGUGCUCGAGGGAGACAGAGGUAAGCGGAACUCAAGGUGGAGCGGUGAAAUGCGUUGAUAUCUUGAGGAACACCGGUGGCGAAGGCGGCUUACUGGGUCUCUUCUGACGCUGAGGCACGAAAGCUAAGGUAGCAAACGGGAUUAGAUACCCCGGUAGUCUUAGCUGUAAACGAUGAGCACUUGAUUGGAGGGUCCUCCAUAGCCUUCCAGUCGUAGCGAAAGUGUUAAGUGCUCCGCCUGGGGAGUAUGGUCGCAAGGCUG
RNAcentral lists this ribosomal RNA (373 nucleotides) under uncultured bacterium. RNAcentral describes it as "bacterial SSU rRNA". It matches the Rfam family "Bacterial small subunit ribosomal RNA", at positions 525 to 896 of the family's 1533-position model. The record is from RNAcentral.